This 526-nucleotide ribosomal RNA is filed under the name uncultured bacterium. Its description in RNAcentral is "partial 16S ribosomal RNA". The stretch from base 20 to 320 matches the Rfam family "Bacterial small subunit ribosomal RNA", at positions 47 to 358 of the family's 1533-position model. The record is from RNAcentral.
GACGAACGCUGGCGGCGUGCUUAACACAUGCAAGUCGAACGGAAAGGCCCUGCUUUUGUGGGGUGCUCGAGUGGCGAACGGGUGAGUAACACGUGAGUAACCUGCCCUUGACUUUGGGAUAACUUCAGGAAACUGGGGCUAAUACCGGAUAGGAGCUCCUGCUGCAUGGUGGGGGUUGGAAAGUUUCGGCGGUUGGGGAUGGACUCGCGGCUUAUCAGCUUGUUGGUGGGGUAGUGGCUUACCAAGGCUUUGACGGGUAGCCGGCCUGAGAGGGUGACCGGCGGGGGGGGAGCGCGCGCCUGACUGUGGCAGAGCGUGGGGCAGGGGGACUGAGGGGGGGGGUAGGGGGGCGGAGGGGAGGAGGGGAGUAAGCCGGUGGGAGAGAGGCGGAGGGGGGGAGGACGGCUGUCGGGUAGUAACCCGCUUGCGCGUGUGGGAAGGGGGGGGUGACGGUGAGGGAUAGAGAAUCACCGGCUAACAGCGUACCAGGAGCGGGGGUAAUAAUCGGAGGAGCUCUCGGCUGAUC